RNAcentral lists this long non-coding RNA (490 nucleotides) under Dermacentor andersoni. RNAcentral describes it as "uncharacterized LOC126544283". The record is from RNAcentral. Lineage: Eukaryota; Metazoa; Arthropoda; Arachnida; Ixodida; Ixodidae.
GGGCCUUGGAAGGACCAGCUGAUAAACAAGUCAACGCCUGUGCUUCACAGUAAGGCUUCUGGCAGACCUGAAAGCAGCGAUAGAUAUGAUGCCAGCCUGUUGGAAUUGCACCAGCUCGCUUCCCUGAAAGAACCUAGGUGCUGAAGAAGUACUUGACUAACCUACCCGCAUUGUCAUUGUGACAGUCUGCAUCACCAUUUGGCCUAUUUUGUGAUCCCACAAGACAUGCUGCUACCCUGGGUUUUGUAGCUGGGUCAAUUGCUGAAGUUCUGCAAGCCCCAUGGAAGCCAACUGUCAUCCGCAUCAAAUGGAAGAAACUCAUUGUUCUGGCCCUCAUAAUUCAUGUUAAGUUGAAGCUAGAACCCGAGUAGAAACAGUAUAUAUUCUAACAUGAUUUACCACUGCGUGCCGUCGGGUGGCUACACCCGACAGGCUACUGUCUUGAACAGAGAAGGUGUUUUAUUCAAGAAUAUAUUUGUCAGCAGUAAUA